UACGUAGGGGGCGAGCGUUGUCCGGAGUUACUGGGCGUAAAGCGCACGCAGGCGGUCUGCUAAGUUUGGAGUGACAGUUGGUGGCUUAACUGCCAAAGUGCUUCGAAAACUGACAGACUUGAGGGCUUCAGAGGGACACGGAAUUCCGGGUGGAGUGGUGAAAUGCGUAGAGAUCCGGAGGAACACCAAAGGCGAAGGCAGUGUCCUGGGGAGUACCUGACGCUCAGGCACGAAAGCGCGGGGAGCGAACAGG
RNAcentral lists this ribosomal RNA (253 nucleotides) under uncultured bacterium. RNAcentral's name for it is "partial 16S ribosomal RNA". It matches the Rfam family "Bacterial small subunit ribosomal RNA", at positions 524 to 776 of the family's 1533-position model. The record is from RNAcentral.